UGGAGGGGUGGAGGUGGGUUUAUACAUAAAAAGUGAUUGGUGGGGGGCCUCCCGGGUGGCACAGUGGUUAAGGGCGUAAAAUAAAAUACAUUUUAAAAAGUGAUUGGACGUAGGAUGCACAUAAACAUGGCUGAAAGGUGACUGGUUGGUAGCAGGAAUAUAUACAUAUUUAUGAUAAUAUAUUAACGGGAACAUAGUGAUAUUUAUUAUAAUCUGCAACAUUUCAACUUCUAAAAUACAUAGAGUCCUUGUAAUUUACAGCAUCGCUCAGUCAACAAAACAUUUGCUAAAGUUGCCCAAUUAGCGGGAGGGCUGGGGGAAAGAUCUGUGUCGCACACAGUGCUCAAGUCUAUGACGUCUGUCAGUCAAAACCCCGGCACAGGGUAUGUUACUGUAUAGCAUGUUACUGUAUAGCAUGUUACUGUAUAGCAUGUUACUGUAUAGCAUGUUACUGUAUAGCAAAGUUGGGUCGAAGCUCUGAAGACGACAGCAUUACGGUACGGCGCCAUCUUAUGGAAAACAUGGACACUGUUACAGGAGAAUAGAUUGGAUCGCAGCGGCUUUCCGCCGUGGGAAAACCAGAUGAUCUGAGAUGCAAAAUCCCAUCUAAAGUCAAGAAUCCAGUGGCUUGAUUUAUUAAAACUAAAAGUUUUUAUUUGUAAAAUUCAAAAUAAUACAUUCAGAUAAUAACAAAGGUUCCAAUAUUCAAAACAUGUGUGCCUUCACAGUAUCUCAAGCAUUUGCCCUAACCAGCAAGCCUUACUUCCUGUCUCUAAAUUCCCAAUUUACAUAUCUGGGCGGGCCCGCCAGUAUUUCUAACUGUUUCUGGCUAGAGGGCGUAAUUGACCGUUUCGCAUUUAAAUCAAAAGACCACAUAACCAAAUUAAUGUAUACACCUUAUAUAGAAUCGAAAUGAUUCUAAAUGGUGCAAUAUGACCUAAUAAACAGAUAUUUGCAUAACCAAAGAAAGAUAGAAACUGGCUCCAACAGGGGAAGAAAGAGAAGAUGGGAAUGUGCCCUGUUUCUUUGUUUGUUGUAAUUUACAACUUCAUAUAAAGCUUGGAAAUGAAAGCUUGAGAGUUAAACUGAACUGCUUCAGCAAAGACUCAUGGGAAAGGAGAAAGGAGGAGUGUGUUGGUCUGGAAAUAACAGCUGAUUAGAAAGGUUGAGAAUGAGAUUCAAAUGCAGGUUGUGUCAGUGGCCCUGCGCUACCAAAGGUUUUAAACUGGAUAUGAUCUACUAUGAAACUGAACUGCUAUAGCAAAGGAAUCCAAGCUGGACAAUUACCUAACAGCUAGUCUCUCGUGUCAUGACAGACUUCUAGGUUCCGAGACGACAGCCUUCUAGGUUCCGAGGUGACAGACUUCUAGGUUCCGAGACGACAGCCUUCUAGGUUCCGAGGUGACAGACUUCUAGGUUCCGAGACGACAGCCUUCUAGGUUCCGAGGUGACAGACUUCUAGGUUCCGAGGUGACAGCCUUCUAGGUUCCGAGGUGACAGCCUUCUAGGUUCCGAGGUGACAGACUUCUAGGUUCCGAGACGACAGCCUUCUAGGUUCCGAGGUGACAGACUUCUAGGUUCCGAGACGACAGCCUUCCAAGAUUAGCCUUCAGAGUCUUAAAACGACAUUGUAUUUAUAAUACUGAGUCAUCAUGUUUGUUGCUUUGCAUUGCAUUCAAAUUGAAGGCUUGAAUUCUUGAUUUGCCUCUAGAAUAAACGUGGGAGUUUUAUACCAUGCCAUGGUUUUACAGCUGCUGUCUUGCCAUUGUAAUAAUAUAGCUCGUAAAUAAUUACAAUAUCAUCAUUCAAAAAUAAUCUCUUUUUAUAUGUGGUUAUUUACAGUAAUUUAUUAGCUUCAAUAGAAACAUGGGCUUCCCACAUUAUGUUAAAGAAGAACAUAAUGCCCUGCAUCUAAAUAUACUUGUAUGUUAUAUGGGUAUCUGACAUUCAUUCAAUGGAAAAUGAAGAAAUAAUAAGAUAUUGUCAAGGAAAUGUAUAGUCUUUCAUUUGUCCUGUCUAGAUAGGAAUAUCACAAGCAAAUCAGGUAUGUCUAUGGUGCAGUGUAUGUUACGCAUGAACGUGUAUACUUUGUUAGACAAUUCUGUGCAUUAUCUGUACUGCCUACUAAUGCUAUACUGUACAUCCUGAAAAGAUAAGCUACUGAGGAUUAGCUCCUGCAUUCACCACCCAUGAGUGGUCUAGCUAUAAUGUUUGUU
This is a long non-coding RNA of Oncorhynchus tshawytscha (Chinook salmon), 2216 nucleotides long. The record is from Ensembl. NCBI's taxonomy places the organism in Eukaryota, Metazoa, Chordata, Actinopteri, Salmoniformes, Salmonidae.